This 1338-nucleotide long non-coding RNA is filed under the name Homo sapiens (human). Its description in RNAcentral is "HSALNT0389181". Lineage: Eukaryota; Metazoa; Chordata; Mammalia; Primates; Hominidae. The record is from RNAcentral.
GCCGCCCAUCGUCUGGGAUGUGAGGAGCCCCUCUGCCUGGCUGCCCAGUCUGGAAAGUGAGGAGCAUCUCCGCCCGGCCGCCAUCCCAUCUAGGAAGUGAGGAGCGCCUCUUCCCAGCCGCCGUCACAUCUAGGAAGUGAGGAGCGUCUCUGCCCCGCCGCCCAUUGUCUGAGAUGUGGGGAGCGCCUCUGCCCCGCCGCCCCAUCUGGGAUGUGAGGAGCGCCUCUGCCCGGCCGAGACCCCGUCUGGGAGGUGACGAGCGUCUCUGCCCGGCCGCCCCGUCUGAGAAGUGAGGAGACCCUCUGCCUGGCAACCACCCCGUCUGAGAAGUGAGGAGCCCCUCCGCCCGGCAGCUGCCCCGUCUGAGAAGUGAGGAGCCUCUCCGCCCGGCAGCCACCCCAUCUGGGAAGUGAGGAGCGUCUCCGCCCAGCAGCCACCCCGUCCGGGAGGGAGGCGGGGAUAUAAGCCCCGAAAGGAAAGCCCUGAGCAGAGGAGGCCUCAGCUUGACCUGUCCCAGUGCGCCCUUGAAACUUUCCUCGCCUUCCACCUCCUGCUCAUCUGCUUCACAAGCUGUCGCUGUGGUGUCGGUUCGCAGGUCGUGGCCUCUCAUGGCCACGGUGCUUUUGGCCCUGCUCGUCUACCUGGGGGCGCUGGUCGACGCCUACCCCAUCAAACCCGAGGCUCCCGGCGAAGACGCCUUCCUGGGGUAGCUGAGCCGCUGCUACGCCUAUCCUCGCCACUACCUCAUCCUGGUCACUCAGCCGUCGUGAGCGCAGGCGCGGGGCGGGCGGAGCGGGACCCCUGGGGCUCUCCCCCUGCGGCCCCGCUCCACCGGGGGCGUGGCUAGAUCUGACCGCGCCCUUCCAGGCCCCGCCCUCAGGUAUGGGAAACUAGGCCGCCCGGUCGCGCGCCUCUCCAAAACGUUCUUCCCAGACUGCGAGGACCGCCUCGGCAGGUGGCGGUAAAAGCGCCCCCAUCAAGUCACAUAACAUCCUGCCUCCGAGAGCGCGGUCUGGCCCCACCCUGGUCCAUCACUUACGACGUCUCCCAGGCUUGCCUCCCCGGAUCGGAUUCCUUUCCCUUCGAUCCCGCAGGCCGGAGGCGCAGACCUGUGGUGAGGACACCCGAGGCCUCCUGGGAGACCUGCAGACCACGCCCACCUCAUUUACAUGUUCACUCCCGACCCUGGAAACCCGGAUUUCGCCUCCGGACAGCGGCGUCUGGGCAGGGUUCGGGUACUGCAGUCCCGCGUCUGGAUGCCCCCGCCCCCUGAGCUGCAGGGCUGUGUGUGGUCCUUCCCUGGUCCCAAAAUAAAGAGCGAAUUGCACAGAAACGGAA